AUUGAACGCUGGCGGCAGGCUUAACACAUGCAAGUCGAGCGGGGUGAUGGUGCUUGCACUAUCACUUAGCGGCGGACGGGUGAGUAAUGCUUAGGAAUCUGCCUAUUAGUGGGGGACAACAUCUCGAAAGGGAUGCUAAUACCGCAUACGUCCUACGGGAGAAAGCAGGGGAUCACUUGUGACCUUGCGCUAAUAGAUGAGCCUAAGUCGGAUUAGCUAGUUGGUGGGGUAAAAGCCUACCAAGGCGAUGAUCGGUAGCUGGUCUGAGAGGAUGAUCAGCCACACUGGGACUGAGACACGGCCCAGACUCCUACGGGAGGCAGCAGUGGGGAAUAUUGGACAAUGGGCGCAAGCCUGAUCCAGCCAUGCCGCGUGUGUGAAGAAGGCCUUAUGGUUGUAAAGCACUUUAAGCGAGGAGGAGGCUACUCUAGUUAAUACCUAGGGAUAGUGGACGUUACUCGCAGAAUAAGCACCGGCUAACUCUGUGCCAGCAGCCGCGGUAA
This 503-nucleotide ribosomal RNA is filed under the name uncultured bacterium. Its description in RNAcentral is "partial 16S ribosomal RNA". It matches the Rfam family "Bacterial small subunit ribosomal RNA", at positions 30 to 523 of the family's 1533-position model. The record is from RNAcentral.